Molecule: long non-coding RNA, 1050 nt
Filed under: Salmo trutta (river trout)
Lineage: Eukaryota; Metazoa; Chordata; Actinopteri; Salmoniformes; Salmonidae
Description: lncRNA (ENSSTUG00000042321.1)
Source: RNAcentral
AUGACGGAUCACCAUCUCAAGCUGAACCUCGGCAAGACGGAGCUGCUUUUCCUCCCGGGGAAGGACUGCCUGUUCCAUGAUCUCGCCAUCAUGGUUGACAACUCCAUUGUGUCCUCCUCCCAGAGUGCUAAGAGCCUUGGCGUGACCCUGGACAACACCCUGUCGUUCUCCGCUAACAUCAAGGCGGUGACCCGAUCCUGUAGGUUCAUGCUCUACAACAUUCGCAGAGUACGACCCUGCCUCACACAGGAAGCAGCGCAGGUCCUAAUCCAGGCACUUGUCAUCUCCCGUCUGGAUUACUGCAACUCGCUGUUGGCGGGGCUCCCUGCCUGCGCCAUUAAACCCCUACAACUCAUCCAGAACGCCGCAGCCCGUCUGGUGUUCAACCUUCCCAAGUUCUCUCACGUCACCCCGCUCCUCCGCACACUCCACUGGCUUCCAGUUGAAGCUCGCAUCUGCUACAAGACCAUGGUGCUUGCCUACGGAGCUGUGAGGGGAACGGCACCUCCGUACCUUCAGGCUCUGAUCAGUCCCUACACCCAAAGAAGGGCACUGCGUUCAUCCACCUCUGGCCUGCUGGCCCCCCUACCUCUGCGGAAGCACAGUUUCCGCUCAGCCCAGUCAAAACUGUUCGCUGCUCUGACACCCCAAUGGUGGAACAAGCUCCCUCACAACGCCAGGACAGCGGAGUCAAUCACCACCUUCCGGAGACACCUGAAACCCCACCUCUUUCACCUCUUACAUCUAGACGUUCCGCUAGCGGAACACCUGCUCCAAUAUCCAAUGAUAGGCGUGGCGCGAAUUACAAAUUCCUCAAAAAUACAAAAACUUCAAUUUUUCAAACAUAUGACUAUUUUACACCAUUUUCAAGACAAGACUCUCCUUUAUCUAACCACACUGUCCGAUUUCAAAAAGGCUUUACAACGAAAGCAAAACAUUAGAUUAUGUCAGCAGAGUACCCAGACAGAAAUAAUCAGACACCCAUUUUUCAAGCUAGCAUAUAAUGUCACAUUAACCCAAACCACAGCUAAAUGCAGCACUAACCUUUGA